AUUGAACGCUGGCGGAAUGCUUUACACAUGCAAGUCGAACGGCAGCACGGACUUCGGUCUGGUGGCGAGUGGCGAACGGGUGAGUAAUGUAUCGGAACGUGCCCAGUCGUGGGGGAUAACGUAGUGAAAAUUACGCUAAUACCGCAUACGAUCUAUGGAUGAAAGCGGGGGAUCGCAAGACAUGCCGCGAUUGGAGCGGCCGAUAUCAGAUUAGGUAGUUGGUGGGGUAAAGGCCCACCAAGCCAACGAUCUGUAACUGGUCUGAGAGGACGACCAGCCACACUGGAACUGAGACACGGUCCAGACUCCUACGGGAGGCAGCAGUGGGGAAUUUUGGACAAUGGGCGAAAGCCUGAUCCAGCCAUGCCGCGUGCAGGAUGAAGGCCCUCGGGUUGUAAACUGCUUUUGUACAGAACGAAAAGGUUUCUACUAAUACUAGGAGCUCAUGACGGUACUGUAAGAAUAAGCACCGGCUAACUACGUGCCAGCCGCCGCCGUAA
Molecule: ribosomal RNA, 500 nt
Filed under: uncultured bacterium
Lineage: Bacteria
Description: partial 16S ribosomal RNA
Rfam family: Bacterial small subunit ribosomal RNA
Source: RNAcentral